CGCGGCCUAUCAGCUUGUUGGUGGGGUAACGGCCCACCAAGGCAUCGACGGGUAGCUGGUCUGAGAGGACGAUCAGCCACACUGGGACUGAGACACGGCCCAGACUCCUACGGGAGGCAGCAGUGGGGAAUAUUGCGCAAUGGGCGAAAGCCCGACGCAGCAACGCCGCGUGGGGGAUGACGGCCCUCGGGUUGUAAACCCCUUUCAGCAGGGACGAAAAUGACGGUACCUGCAGAAGAAGCCCCGGCCAACUACGUGCCAGCAGCCGCGGUAACACGUAGGGGGCAAGCGUUGUCCGGAUUUAUUGGGCGUAAAGAGCUCGUAGGCGGUUGCGUAAGUCGGAUGUGAACACUCAGGGCUCAACCCGGAGACGCCAUCCGAUACUGCGCUGACUAGAGUCCGGUAGAGGAGCAUGGAAUUCCUGGUGUAGCGGUGAAAUGCGCAGAUAUCAGGAGGAACACCAGUGGCGAAGGCGGUGCUCUGGGCCGGUACUGACGCUGAGGAGCGAAAGCGUGGGUAGCGAACAGGAUUAGAUACCCUGGUAGUCCACGCCGUAAACGUUGGGCACUAGGUGUGGGGCCUCCUUAACGGGUUCCGUGCCGUAGCUAACGCAUUAAGUGCCCCGCCUGGGGAGUACGG
Molecule: ribosomal RNA, 639 nt
Filed under: uncultured bacterium
Lineage: Bacteria
Description: bacterial SSU rRNA
Rfam family: Bacterial small subunit ribosomal RNA
Source: RNAcentral